This 2791-nucleotide ribosomal RNA is filed under the name Staphylococcus aureus. RNAcentral describes it as "partial 23S ribosomal RNA". It matches the Rfam family "Bacterial large subunit ribosomal RNA". Lineage: Bacteria; Bacillati; Bacillota; Bacilli; Caryophanales; Staphylococcaceae. The record is from RNAcentral.
AUGAGUUAUGUCAUGUUAUCGAUAUGUGAAUACAUAGCAUAUCAGAAGGCACACCCGGAGAACUGAAACAUCUUAGUACCCGGAGGAAGAGAAAGAAAAUUCGAUUCCCUUAGUAGCGGCGAGCGAAACGGGAAGAGCCCAAACCAACAAGCUUGCUUGUUGGGGUUGUAGGACACUCUAUACGGAGUUACAAAGGACGACAUUAGACGAAUCAUCUGGAAAGAUGAAUCAAAGAAGGUAAUAAUCCUGUAGUCGAAAAUGUUGUCUCUCUUGAGUGGAUCCUGAGUACGACGGAGCACGUGAAAUUCCGUCGGAAUCUGGGAGGACCAUCUCCUAAGGCUAAAUACUCUCUAGUGACCGAUAGUGAACCAGUACCGUGAGGGAAAGGUGAAAAGCACCCCGGAAGGGGAGUGAAAUAGAACCUGAAACCGUGUGCUUACAAGUAGUCAGAGCCCGUUAAUGGGUGAUGGCGUGCCUUUUGUAGAAUGAACCGGCGAGUUACGAUUUGAUGCAAGGUUAAGCAGUAAAUGUGGAGCCGUAGCGAAAGCGAGUCUGAAUAGGGCGUUUAGUAUUUGGUCGUAGACCCGAAACCAGGUGAUCUACCCUUGGUCAGGUUGAAGUUCAGGUAACACUGAAUGGAGGACCGAACCGACUUACGUUGAAAAGUGAGCGGAUGAACUGAGGGUAGCGGAGAAAUUCCAAUCGAACCUGGAGAUAGCUGGUUCUCUCCGAAAUAGCUUUAGGGCUAGCCUCAAGUGAUGAUUAUUGGAGGUAGAGCACUGUUUGGACGAGGGGCCCCUCUCGGGUUACCGAAUUCAGACAAACUCCGAAUGCCAAUUAAUUUAACUUGGGAGUCAGAACAUGGGUGAUAAGGUCCGUGUUCGAAAGGGAAACAGCCCAGACCACCAGCUAAGGUCCCAAAAUAUAUGUUAAGUGGAAAAGGAUGUGGCGUUGCCCAGACAACUAGGAUGUUGGCUUAGAAGCAGCCAUCAUUUAAAGAGUGCGUAAUAGCUCACUAGUCGAGUGACACUGCGCCGAAAAUGUACCGGGGCUAAACAUAUUACCGAAGCUGUGGAUUGUCCUUUGGACAAUGGUAGGAGAGCGUUCUAAGGGCGUUGAAGCAUGAUCGUAAGGACAUGUGGAGCGCUUAGAAGUGAGAAUGCCGGUGUGAGUAGCGAAAGACGGGUGAGAAUCCCGUCCACCGAUUGACUAAGGUUUCCAGAGGAAGGCUCGUCCGCUCUGGGUUAGUCGGGUCCUAAGCUGAGGCCGACAGGCGUAGGCGAUGGAUAACAGGUUGAUAUUCCUGUACCACCUAUAAUCGUUUUAAUCGAUGGGGGGACGCAGUAGGAUAGGCGAAGCGUGCGAUUGGAUUGCACGUCUAAGCAGUAAGGCUGAGUAUUAGGCAAAUCCGGUACUCGUUAAGGCUGAGCUGUGAUGGGGAGAAGACAUUGUGUCUUCGAGUCGUUGAUUUCACACUGCCGAGAAAAGCCUCUAGAUAGAAAAUAGGUGCCCGUACCGCAAACCGACACAGGUAGUCAAGAUGAGAAUUCUAAGGUGAGCGAGCGAACUCUCGUUAAGGAACUCGGCAAAAUGACCCCGUAACUUCGGGAGAAGGGGUGCUCUUUAGGGUUAACGCCCAGAAGAGCCGCAGUGAAUAGGCCCAAGCGACUGUUUAUCAAAAACACAGGUCUCUGCUAAACCGUAAGGUGAUGUAUAGGGGCUGACGCCUGCCCGGUGCUGGAAGGUUAAGAGGAGUGGUUAGCUUCUGCGAAGCUACGAAUCGAAGCCCCAGUAAACGGCGGCCGUAACUAUAACGGUCCUAAGGUAGCGAAAUUCCUUGUCGGGUAAGUUCCGACCCGCACGAAAGGCGUAACGAUUUGGGCACUGUCUCAACGAGAGACUCGGUGAAAUCAUAGUACCUGUGAAGAUGCAGGUUACCCGCGACAGGACGGAAAGACCCCGUGGAGCUUUACUGUAGCCUGAUAUUGAAAUUCGGCACAGCUUGUACAGGAUAGGUAGGAGCCUUUGAAACGUGAGCGCUAGCUUACGUGGAGGCGCUGGUGGGAUACUACCCUAGCUGUGUUGGCUUUCUAACCCGCACCACUUAUCGUGGUGGGAGACAGUGUCAGGCGGGCAGUUUGACUGGGGCGGUCGCCUCCUAAAAGGUAACGGAGGCGCUCAAAGGUUCCCUCAGAAUGGUUGGAAAUCAUUCAUAGAGUGUAAAGGCAUAAGGGAGCUUGACUGCGAGACCUACAAGUCGAGCAGGGUCGAAAGACGGACUUAGUGAUCCGGUGGUUCCGCAUGGAAGGGCCAUCGCUCAACGGAUAAAAGCUACCCCGGGGAUAACAGGCUUAUCUCCCCCAAGAGUUCACAUCGACGGGGAGGUUUGGCACCUCGAUGUCGGCUCAUCGCAUCCUGGGGCUGUAGUCGGUCCCAAGGGUUGGGCUGUUCGCCCAUUAAAGCGGUACGCGAGCUGGGUUCAGAACGUCGUGAGACAGUUCGGUCCCUAUCCGUCGUGGGCGUAGGAAAUUUGAGAGGAGCUGUCCUUAGUACGAGAGGACCGGGAUGGACAUACCUCUGGUGUACCAGUUGUCGUGCCAACGGCAUAGCUGGGUAGCUAUGUGUGGACGGGAUAAGUGCUGAAAGCAUCUAAGCAUGAAGCCCCCCUCAAGAUGAGAUUUCCCAACUUCGGUUAUAAGAUCCCUCAAAGAUGAUGAGGUUAAUAGGUUCGAGGUGGAAGCAUGGUGACAUGUGGAGCUGACGAAUACUAAUCGAUCGAAGACUUAAUCAA